Molecule: ribosomal RNA, 395 nt
Filed under: uncultured bacterium
Lineage: Bacteria
Description: bacterial SSU rRNA
Rfam family: Bacterial small subunit ribosomal RNA
Source: RNAcentral
GUGUCAGCAGCCGCGGUAAUACGGAAGGUGCAAGCAUUAAUCGGAAUUAUUGGGCGUAAAGGGCGCGUAGGCGGAAUUGUAAGUCAGAUGUGAAAUACCGAAGCUCAACUUCGGUGCUGCAUUUGAAACUACAAUUCUAGAGGGUUGACGGAGAAAACGGAAUUCCACGUGUAGCGGUGAAAUGCGUGGAUAUGUGGAAGAACACCGGUGGCGAAGGCGGUUUUCUAGUUAAUACCUGACGCUGAGGCGCGAGAGCAAGGGGAGCAAACAGGAUUAGAUACCCUGGUAGUCCUUGCCGUAAACGAUGUAUACUUGAUGUAGUUGGACUCAACCCCGACUGUGUCGUAGCUAACGCGAUAAGUAUACCGCCUGAGGAGUACGCUCGCAAGGGUGAA